CUCGUAGGAGACUGCCGGCGUCAAGUCGGAGGAAGGUGGGGACGACGUCAAGUCAUCAUGCCCCUUAUGUCCAGGGCUGCAAACAUGCUACAAUGGCCGGUACAACGGGCAGCGACACCGCGAGGUGAAGCGAAUCCCUUAAAGCCGGUCUCAGUUCGGAUUGAAGUCUGCAACUCGACUUCAUGAAGCUGGAGUCGCUAGUAAUCCCGGAUCAGCAACGCCGGGGUGAAUACGUUCCCGGGCCUU
Molecule: ribosomal RNA, 246 nt
Filed under: uncultured Acidimicrobiales bacterium
Lineage: Bacteria; Bacillati; Actinomycetota; Acidimicrobiia; Acidimicrobiales
Description: partial 16S ribosomal RNA
Rfam family: Bacterial small subunit ribosomal RNA
Source: RNAcentral